Non-coding RNA from Gossypium raimondii (Peruvian cotton), 107 nucleotides. NCBI's taxonomy places the organism in Eukaryota, Viridiplantae, Streptophyta, Magnoliopsida, Malvales, Malvaceae. The record is from Rfam.
AACCCAUGAUGAGGACACUUAUGAAGCAAUUCCUCGAAUCUUUCCUAUGCCUCGUAUAAAGACUCGUCAUCCAAUUGUUGGGAAGUUGUUAUCUCAUUACAGAACUU